Molecule: ribosomal RNA, 504 nt
Filed under: uncultured bacterium
Lineage: Bacteria
Description: partial 16S ribosomal RNA
Rfam family: Bacterial small subunit ribosomal RNA
Source: RNAcentral
GACGAACGCUGGCGGCGUGCCUAAUACAUGCAAGUAGAACGCACAGUUUAUACCGUAGCUUGCUACACCAUAGACUGUGAGUUGCGAACGGGUGAGUAACGCGUAGGUAACCUGCCUGGUAGCGGGGAUAACUAUUGGAAACGAUAGCUAAUACCGCAUAAUAUUAAUUAUUGCAUGAUAAUUAAUUGAAAGGUGCAAUUGCACCACUACCAGAUGGACCUGCGUUGUAUUAGCUAGUAGGUGAGGUAACGGCUCACCUAGGCGACGAUACAUAGCCGACCUGAGAGGGUGAUCGGCCACACUGGGACUGAGACACGGCCCAGACUCCUACGGGAGGCAGCAGUAGGGAAUCUUCGGCAAUGGACGAAAGUCUGACCGAGCAACGCCGCGUGAGUGAAGAAGGUUUUCGGAUCGUAAAGCUCUGUUGUAAGAGAAGAACGGGUGUGAGAGUGGAAAGUUCACACUGUGACGGUAUCUGACCAGAAAGGGACGGCUAACUACGUG